This is a long non-coding RNA of Esox lucius (northern pike), 457 nucleotides long. RefSeq lists it as uncharacterized. Lineage: Eukaryota; Metazoa; Chordata; Actinopteri; Esociformes; Esocidae. The transcript is spliced from 3 exons. The record is from RefSeq and is a predicted model, not a curated record.
AUAUCUCAACCAUACCUCUCCACUAAAAAAAGUAAGGCAAGGAGGCUCCUCUUAAAGCCACUCCUCCAUUGGUUGAGAGCAAACACAAACCACCAGAAUGGCAUUAGUAGUGGCAAGUGGCACAGAAGAGUCAACAGGGUCAGAUAUGAAGUAACAUCAUACUCAUUUUGAUGUUUGUUCUUUAAGUCACUAGCCAUCCACAUCCAAGUUCCAGGCCAGACCAGACCACAGGCCAGACCAGAUUACAGGCCAGACCAGACCAGCAUCUGAAAGGAAUUAACUUAAAUAGACAUGUGAGUUGGAGGCCAAGAGUGGAGGACCAACCUACCACUUCAAGUCAAAUGGAAGAAAGUAACACUCUUGGAAACCUCAAAGUUGUCCUCAACUGGGGACAGAAUGUUAAGCAAACCAUGUGGUGUGUGUUCGAGAAGGUCUUCACACCGGAUUUGGCAACCCA